RNAcentral lists this ribosomal RNA (254 nucleotides) under uncultured bacterium. RNAcentral describes it as "partial 16S ribosomal RNA". It matches the Rfam family "Bacterial small subunit ribosomal RNA", at positions 524 to 776 of the family's 1533-position model. The record is from RNAcentral.
UACGUAGGGGGCUAGCGUUGUCCGGAAUCAUUGGGCGUAAAGAGCGUGUAGGCGGCUCAGUAAGUCAGGUGUGAAAACUCCAAGCUCAACCUGGAGACGCCACCUGAUACUGCUGUGGCUAGAGUCCGGUAGGGGAGCAUGGAAUUCCUGGUGUAGCGGUGAAAUGCGCAGAUAUCAGGAGGAACACCAGUGGCGAAGGCGGUGCUCUGGGCCGGAACUGACGCUGAGGAGCGAAAGCGUGGGGAGCAAACAGG